This 413-nucleotide ribosomal RNA is filed under the name uncultured Bacteroidota bacterium. Its description in RNAcentral is "bacterial SSU rRNA". It matches the Rfam family "Bacterial small subunit ribosomal RNA", at positions 92 to 502 of the family's 1533-position model. The record is from RNAcentral. Lineage: Bacteria; Pseudomonadati; Bacteroidota.
AGAGUAGCGCACGGGUGCGUAACGCGUAUGCAACCUACCUUUAACCGGGAUUCAACCAUGAGAAAUUGUGGCUAAUAUCCCAUAACACUGCGAUGUGGCAUCACAAUGCAGUUAAAGCUCCGGCGGUUAUAGAUGGGCAUGCGUGACAUUAGCUAGUUGGUGAGGUAACGGCUCACCAAUGCUACGAUGUCUAGGGGUUCUGAGAGGAUUAUCCCCCACACUGGUACUGAGACACUGACCAGACUCCUACGGGAGGCAGCAGUAACGAAUAUUGGGCAAUGGACGCAAGUCUGACCCAGCCAUGCCGCGUGAAGGAUGAAGGCCCUAUGGGUUGUAAACUUCUUUUAUACGGGAAAAAACCACCGGUCGUGUAUCGGUGCUGAUGGUACCGUAAGAAUAAGCAUCGGCUAACU